CUUGCAUACUUGUAGGUGUCUUUGCAUGUAGGAGUGAGACUCUUCAUUGGCAAUGCGAUGUUUCUCACCACAAAGCCCAUCUGAUAUAAUUUCUUUACCAUUUGAUGGAAGAAUUUGCUUUCAUUUUGUGUGUGUGUGUGUUUUUUUUUUUUUUAACUACUUGAAUAUCAUAAAGGAUGUAAAAGGUUGGGAGGGCUGUAGGGAUGUAAAGGGGUGUAAAGGUUGGAGGCCGUCUGGGGCAAAGUGAUCACGAGAUGCUAGAUUUCUCUAUCCUUGUUGAACCACAGAGGGGAGUCAGCAGAACUGCCACCUGGGACUUCCGGAGGGCAGACUUCAACCUCUUUAGGACCACAGUUGACAGGGUCCCUUGGGAGGUAGUUUUGGAGAGUGUGAGAGCCCAGAAAGGCUGGGAAUAUUUUAAGGAAAUUGUUUUAAAGGUGCAGGACCUGACCAUCCCCAUGUCAUGGAAGACGAGCCAAUGGGCAAGGAGGCUGGGCUGACUGAACAGAGACCUUUGGCUGGAUCUCAAGAACAAAAGGAAAGUUUAUGGUCUCUGGAAGAGUGGGCAAGCUACUUAUGAGGAUUAGAGUACCUGAAAGGUGUUGACAGUGAGAGCGGGGUAGGUUACUUCUCACUGGUGACAGAUGACAAGACGAGUGGAAAUCGCCUCAAGUUGCACCAAGAUAAGUUUAGGCUGGACAUUAGGAAACACUUCUUUACAGAAAGGGUGGUUAAACACUGGAAUAGGCUCCCCAGGGAGGUGGUUGAGUCACUGUCUCUGGACGUGUUUAAGAGCUGUUUGGAUGUGGUGCUCAGAGUUGUUAGAGUUAGGGUACUAUGGUUAGGCUGUGGUUGGACUUGAUGAUCUGUGAGGUCCUUUCCAACCUGAGUAAUUCUAUGAUUCUAUGAUUGUAUUCAUGUCAUUAACAUGAGCUAAGAUAGUUAACAUCAAAAUUUUGUCCUUUUCAUGAUGAGUCUUGGGAGUGAUAAUCCUAUGGAGUCAUCAUGAGAUCUAUUUUUUUUGCUCUGAACUGACCACCGUGUAUAAUCUCAAUCUUCCAGUGCUGACAUGUCUUGCUGGUAAUUAUUCAUGUUGUAUUUUUCCCCCAAAUACUCUGUCUGAAUACAUCUUCAGGCAAAAUGUGCUUGAACUAAGCUAGAACUAAGAGAAUAAGAC
RNAcentral lists this long non-coding RNA (1177 nucleotides) under Gallus gallus (chicken). RNAcentral's name for it is "lncRNA (ENSGALG00010008721.1)". Lineage: Eukaryota; Metazoa; Chordata; Aves; Galliformes; Phasianidae. The record is from RNAcentral.